CACCCCACCCCCAGAAAGGUCUAGAAUCUUGCCAGGAACCAAAGAUUAUAACACAGCAUUGGAGCCAAAAAUUGCUUAUGCGAGAACUUGAUGCGAAUCAGAUGACCGCUUCUCUUUUGGUGGAACUUGGGAUGUCUUCGAGAUCCUGCCUAUGAGCCGAACAAGGGCAACAGCAACAGACACCCCAACGGGCCCAUGAAACUAAGCUCACUUCCGUUUUACGACAUUUCCGGACAGAGACUCAAGCCUUUCACUCCACCAUGGGUCCUAGAUCAGGACCUGUCUAUGCCAGGAAAGAGGAAAAUACCAUUGUGGCCCAGUCGGCCUGCAGGUCACGAGACAAAACAGACAACCAGCUGUGCCCCGGGUUCCAGGAACUACAGAAAAUCACAGACCUUGGAAUACGAAGACCACCAGCAACAGGACUGGCAAAGGACUAGGCUUCGGGUUGUGUUUUACCCCGGCCUCUGGUUAUGUGACUAGCUAAGAGGGAAACUAGGCACCAAGGCAAAGGUGAGGUGACCGGGCAAGUCUAAAGUUGUACUGAGUAGAGGCAAAGACUGCACAAGAAUGAAAGAAAAAGACCAAGUAAUGAGGGGCAUGAGCUAAUGUCCAACCCUGACUGAACAAAUUAUUUUCCCACACAUGUAUUCCGAAGACUGAAGAAACAGUAUUACAUACACUCUUUUGAGCGCUUUCUGACCAACAUUUUUCUAUUAAAGGUUAUGCUUCUCGGGAGCCAGUAUCAAAGCUUCUUGUGGCUUGUCAGUAAAUUUAAGAGGCCAAAUCUGUGUAAAUUUAAAUUACAUAAAACCUCUCCCUCAAUUGCCUGGUCUCAGAAUAGCCCCUUUCACUGGGCAUUAUCAUCAGGGAAUAUAAACGCCUUUAUCAUAGGAGCCCAGGCUUUUGAAAUCUUGGCAUAAUCGAAUUUCCUCCUCCCAAGGCAUAUCAAACAACAUUGCAGAAUGGAGUCUAAUUUGCUUUUUAACCAAAAGGUUCUUUCCUCUGCUUAUUUGAAGACUAUUUCUAUAUAACAAAUGCAGUGUUCUCUAUGACCACCCCCCUGCCAGAUGGCAGUGCCUGGAAGCCUACACGGUCACCCUAAGGGCAAAGAUUGACGGAAUUGUGAGGGAAAAAAACAGCAGGACACUCUGUGCAUCGGGGAGACAGUGGGGACCGCAUGAGCAGACACCUGAAAGCAUCAAAAGGUGGGCAUAUACUUAACUAACGAAGUCCUGAACAUGGGGGCAAGCGUCGCCCGCCCGUGAAUUGGCCUUCUCUGUCUGUCAGCUGGUGUGAAAACCUGGGAAUCUUUUGUUGACAGUGUCUGUAAGCUACCCUGAACCCCAAGCAGAUGAUUCAAGGCUGAGAAUACAUUCUGAUGCCGACACAGACAAUGGAACAGACAGACAAGGUCAGACGCAGGAAAUGUGGUACUUGGAGCACCGUUAGCCCGGACUAGCAUGAGCCUCUGGGGAUUCUCUAUGGAAGAGGCAGCUAACGAGUCACUCGCUGCACCCUGCUGCCAUUGUCCUUUAAGUUGCUGGAUACUGUUGUUGACAAGGUAAUAACAAGAGAAAGAGGGUUAAGCAGAAUGACAGAGAGGUGUGGACUUCGAGAUUACAAGGCGUCGUCAAGUUGAGGUACAGAGCAAAUCACUAGCGAAGGGCGAGAGACCCUGGGUAGCUUUCUGCUACCACAUGCCUCCCCUGGGGCGUCCGCUGCUCUCUCCUCUCCUUGGCAGACCUUGGGGGUUCAUUUAUCUAGAGCCUCUAUUACCACUAGACAAGCUUGGUGGUCUGACCUUUCACCACAAACCCCAAAUGGGAAAGGGAGCUCUGGGCAUUUUAAAGAGCAAACUGCACUUGCUGUUGUAGCAGACUGAAAAGACAUCGCAUGACCGGAAUGCGUUAGGAUGCAUCCACCUAUGGGGGCCUGCUUUCUAAGCUGCCCAAAACAAAAGUAGGGGUCCACUCUUGCUGGCUGCAGACAUAACACACCACGGUGUGUGGUGUGUCCCAGGUCUGAAGCUAAUUUUGCUGUUUCAUUUCUGUAUUUCUGUAAUUCUUUUUUCUUUCUUUCUUUUUUCCCCAUUUACCGAGUACAACAAUUUGCUAUUGAUUUCUUCUAACCCAGGUCUUCGGACGCCCUGGGUGGUUUCUGAGAACAGGUUACAAAUCCAGACACCCCUCUUCUGCCUGUUAAGAAACUGGACUGUCCUCCAUUAACCACAAGGCCCGCGGUUACCAGGACUUCUCAGAGUCAUUCAUUAAAAUCUUCAUAUUGAGACGUCUCCUGCAGGACCAAACUCACAGAAGCAUCCAACAUGGCUGCCGUGACUAGGAUGGAGGCCUCUCCGGAGACAGAAUAAACACAUUGAUGGGAGUCACAGCUCCGUGUUCUUGUGUCUGCAAAGAGCUAAUCAAAGGCCCGCCCCUUUCUACGAUACCUCCUCGGCACAGAGCAUGGCCAUUUGUUUGUGGACAGAACGUUGUUCUCCAAUGCCCUACCUAUAAAUAUGUAAAGGCAAGAGACAAGACCAUUACUUUAGGGCACUGCUGUGCACUGCUGUUGGACAUCAUUAUGAAGGAAAGACUAUAAGCCCCAAGCAGAUAAAAUGCACAAAAGCCAGAGAGUCUACCAACAAGACACAAGCAUUUAGUGUUAUCCUGAAUUAGCCUCGUUUAUUUAUCGUCGUUCAUUUGAAACCAUGAAGCCCUUAUGCCUUGUAAAUCAAUACGCUAAAUGCUGUGGAAAUACAAAUUAAAAAUGAGUACUUGUCAAAUACGGACUACACUCAGCAGGUACCAGCGCCUCACUUUUAUCCUUUUAAACCAUGAGAGGUGAAAAUUAAAUCCUACUGAAUUACAUCAAUUUUCCACCUGAAAAUAAAAGCACGGUCCCCGAUUCCCUGAAGGACAAAUGAAUUACACACAUUCGAAAUCAAGGCCAGCAAUUAACAUCUUAAUCAUGGGUCCUUGAUAGCCUACCCACGAUUCUAAAAGUCUGGAAAACUGUAAAUAUUUAUAUACAUAGAUGCAGUAGUUAGAUUAAAGAUGUAUGAUAAACGGAUGAGUGUGUCACUGGAUGGAUGCAUGGAUGCAUGGAUGGUAGCACAGUAAAGUGGCUGAGUUCAAGUUCAGAUUGAAAGCUAGAUUUCUAGGUCUCCUCUUAUUACCUCACUAGCCACAUGACCUUGGGCACGUUACUUUGUGCUUUCCUUUUCUCAGCAAAGCUUUCAUGGGAGAAUUAUUCCUAAAAUUAAGUGAACUGUCCAGUGCCAACAUAUUUAGCAUAAGGUUUGGUACACAGGAAACACAUUAUCAAGUACCUAUGGUUGUGACGAGUGGGGAUAAUUACUACAUUUUCCUGUAGUUGAUUGGAUUGAGCUUUUAGCAAGUCGUUUACAAAAAUUAAGCCAUUAAGCCUCUCUCUGGCCCUGGGAAUAUGGAUCAGUCAAUAAUUUACUUUUCCGGCACAUGUAAGGACCUGAGUUCAUAUCUCCCAAAAACAUAUAAGAAAGUAGAACACAGUAGUACACAGUUGUAGUCCUAGCACCAGAAGGUCAAGAGCAGGAGGAUCACUCUGAACCUUCCUGGCCAGCUGAAUUGCUGUUCCAAGUUCAGCCAAAGAUUCUGUUUCAAUAAAAUAAGGUAGAAAGCAAGAGAGGAAGACAUCCAACAUCAACCUCUGCUCUCCAUGGGUACCCACAUGCACACAUACACUUGCAUACACACACAUGCAUGUACUACAAACACAUACAAACAGAGAGAAUCAAGUCGGUCUCUUGGAAACUUAAGCAUUCUUCUGUAUUGGCAUCCCAACUAGUAAGAACUAAAGAUCAAUGGGAGUUUAGAGAAACACAAUUGAAAAGACCUUCAAAUUCCUUUUCAGAGGAUGUUGCAAAGGAUGCUGAUAAAUUAUUAAUAAGGACCUACUACAUAGGAAAAAGCAAAUAGGAAGGUAAUUUUUGUUUGACCCUCAUAAAACGAGCAAGCAUGGACUUUGUGAGAUAUUAAAAUACAAUGCCUCCACUCAUUAAGUGGGUAGGAUAAUGGAAUAACU
Molecule: small RNA, 4065 nt
Filed under: Rattus norvegicus (Norway rat)
Lineage: Eukaryota; Metazoa; Chordata; Mammalia; Rodentia; Muridae
Description: uncharacterized LOC108353025
Source: RNAcentral